AUAAAACGGCCCCAACCCUAUAUCUCCCUUCUCUGACUCUCUCUUCGGACUCAGCCUGCCUGCACCCAGAGACACGGUCCUCUCUUUGUUGCCUAGGCUGGAGUACAGUGGUGUGAUCACAGCUCACUAUAACCCUGAACUGCUGGAAUCAAGUGAUCCUACUGCCUCAGCCUCCCAGAAGAUGGUCAGAGCCUUUGAAAUGGAAGAAAACUCACCAUAUGACCAAAGGCUUACGUUUGAAGAGAGGAUUAUGAGAGAUCAAAAUAUGUUGAAAUACUGAUGGGGAAGAGCGAUUGCAAAGGCAAGAUUGGAAACAAAAUGAAAAAUCAAUUAAUUUACGUGAAGAGAUAGAAGUGUGUCCAGAAUACAAAAGAGAUCAUCUUAGACAAACGUUUUAUUCUACAUUUCCUUUUGUGAGUAGGAAAAGACAGGAAACGUGAUGUUAGAUGGAGACAGAGUGAUAAAACGUUGAGGUGGUUUCACCUGCUGAUGAGUACAAUAAUAAAAAUAUUGAAUAUUUA
Molecule: long non-coding RNA, 521 nt
Organism: Pan troglodytes (chimpanzee)
Lineage: Eukaryota; Metazoa; Chordata; Mammalia; Primates; Hominidae
Exons: 3
Source: RefSeq, a predicted model, not a curated record